This 74-nucleotide transfer RNA is filed under the name Dactylosporangium sp. Its description in RNAcentral is "tRNA-Ile". It matches the Rfam family "tRNA". Rfam says of the family: Transfer RNA (tRNA) molecules are approximately 80 nucleotides in length. The record is from RNAcentral. Lineage: Bacteria; Bacillati; Actinomycetota; Actinomycetes; Micromonosporales; Micromonosporaceae.
GCCGUCGUGGCCCACGGGGUAAGGGCGCCUCGCUGAUAACGAGGAGGAAGCGGGUUCGACUCCUGCCGACGGUA